RNAcentral lists this ribosomal RNA (721 nucleotides) under Bacillus paralicheniformis. Its description in RNAcentral is "bacterial SSU rRNA". It matches the Rfam family "Bacterial small subunit ribosomal RNA", at positions 102 to 807 of the family's 1533-position model. The record is from RNAcentral. Lineage: Bacteria; Bacillati; Bacillota; Bacilli; Caryophanales; Bacillaceae.
ACGGGUGAGUAACACGUGGGUAACCUGCCUGUAAGACUGGGAUAACUCCGGGAAACCGGGGCUAAUACCGGAUGCUUGAUUGAACCGCAUGGUUCAAUUAUAAAAGGUGGCUUUUAGCUACCACUUACAGAUGGACCCGCGGCGCAUUAGCUAGUUGGUGAGGUAACGGCUCACCAAGGCAACGAUGCGUAGCCGACCUGAGAGGGUGAUCGGCCACACUGGGACUGAGACACGGCCCAGACUCCUACGGGAGGCAGCAGUAGGGAAUCUUCCGCAAUGGACGAAAGUCUGACGGAGCAACGCCGCGUGAGUGAUGAAGGUUUUCGGAUCGUAAAACUCUGUUGUUAGGGAAGAACAAGUACCGUUCGAAUAGGGCGGUACCUUGACGGUACCUAACCAGAAAGCCACGGCUAACUACGUGCCAGCAGCCGCGGUAAUACGUAGGUGGCAAGCGUUGUCCGGAAUUAUUGGGCGUAAAGCGCGCGCAGGCGGUUUCUUAAGUCUGAUGUGAAAGCCCCCGGCUCAACCGGGGAGGGUCAUUGGAAACUGGGGAACUUGAGUGCAGAAGAGGAGAGUGGAAUUCCACGUGUAGCGGUGAAAUGCGUAGAGAUGUGGAGGAACACCAGUGGCGAAGGCGACUCUCUGGUCUGUAACUGACGCUGAGGCGCGAAAGCGUGGGGAGCGAACAGGAUUAGAUACCCUGGUAGUCCACGCCGUAAAC